Molecule: ribosomal RNA, 465 nt
Filed under: uncultured Klebsiella sp.
Lineage: Bacteria; Pseudomonadati; Pseudomonadota; Gammaproteobacteria; Enterobacterales; Enterobacteriaceae
Description: bacterial SSU rRNA
Rfam family: Bacterial small subunit ribosomal RNA
Source: RNAcentral
CCUACGGGCGGCUGCAGUGGGGAAUAUUGCACAAUGGGCGCAAGCCUGAUGCAGCCAUGCCGCGUGUGUGAAGAAGGCCUUCGGGUUGUAAAGCACUUUCAGCGGGGAGGAAGGCGGUGAGGUUAAUAACCUCAUCGAUUGACGUUACCCGCAGAAGAAGCACCGGCUAACUCCGUGCCAGCAGCCGCGGUAAUACGGAGGGUGCAAGCGUUAAUCGGAAUUACUGGGCGUAAAGCGCACGCAGGCGGUCUGUCAAGUCGGAUGUGAAAUCCCCGGGCUCAACCUGGGAACUGCAUUCGAAACUGGCAGGCUAGAGUCUUGUAGAGGGGGGUAGAAUUCCAGGUGUAGCGGUGAAAUGCGUAGAGAUCUGGAGGAAUAGCGGUGGCGAAGGCGGCCCCCUGGACAAAGACUGACGCUCAGGUGCGAAAGCGUGGGGAGCAAACAGGAUUAGAUACCCGUGUAGUC